RNAcentral lists this long non-coding RNA (941 nucleotides) under Equus caballus (horse). RNAcentral's name for it is "lncRNA (ENSECAG00000054777.1)". Lineage: Eukaryota; Metazoa; Chordata; Mammalia; Perissodactyla; Equidae. The record is from RNAcentral.
AGAGUCUCUCACUUGGUGACCAGAGACAACUCCUGAACAUGGUGUUGAAGAUGUUGUUAGGAAAAGGACGCACACCGUAGCAGGAAAAAGAAAAUUUGCAUAUACCUGCCAUAGCAGGUUAUUAAUAAGCGAGCACCAUUCUGGGGCACCACUCACGUCACCGUCUAGGACGGACAGAGCGGGAGGAGACGGCUGAAGAGGCAGAAGAAGGGGUCUCCCCGAUGCUGAUGGGACCGGAAUGGGACUCGGGGGGAUGGAUAGUGAUUCCUUCCUCGUGUGGUUUUGAGGCCAUGAGAUUCCCUCAGCGGCCUGGCCUGAAGAGUCGGGAGAGGGCAGCCUGGUUAACUGCAGAUACGAGGUGGCAUCCUAACCCAAGAUUCAGGUUCGGAUGAUCAGUCUUUAGCUGGAUAGAACCCGUGGAAGUGACACAUGCCAACAGACGGAGGAAACUCGAUUCUUUUAAUAACUCUCAUGUUUGCAUCGCAUGUUAGAAGUAUGAAAUAUUUUCAUCGCUAUAGUUGAGUCUCACAAAAAAUCGAUGGAAAAGGCAGAGCAGGUAUUACCUCACCUUAGAGGGGAAAAAACUGAGCCUCAGAAAGGUGAAGCUCCUUCCUCUUAUAGCCACACACACGACAAAUGGCAGAGCCAAGGUCCAAAUCCAGGUCUGUCUAAAGUCUCAUGAGGAGUUCUCUCUACCGUAGAGAAGUGUUUUUAUUUUGUGUUCGUUUCUGUUCUUAAUUGAAAGGAAGGGAGUAGGUCAUAUCAUGGAGUUCUGGGGGAUCUAAAGUACCCGAGCCUGGGAGAUUCAUCCCUCAGUCACUUUGUAGAUGUCAGCUGAGGGCCAAUCAAGAAGGGCCUUGAAUGCCAAGCUGAGGAGCUGGGACUUUAUCCCAAGGGCACUAGGGGGCCAUGGAGGGUUUGGGCAGAGGAGAAACAGGGUC